This 253-nucleotide ribosomal RNA is filed under the name uncultured bacterium. Its description in RNAcentral is "partial 16S ribosomal RNA". It matches the Rfam family "Bacterial small subunit ribosomal RNA", at positions 335 to 605 of the family's 1533-position model. The record is from RNAcentral.
ACCCUACGGGGCGAAGCAGUGGGGAAUAUUGCACAAUGGGGGAAACCCUGAUGCAGCGACGCCGCGUGAGUGAAGAAGUAUUUCGGUAUGUAAAGCUCUAUCAGCAGGGAAGAAGAAAGACGGUACCUGACUAAGAAGCCCCGGCUAACUACGUGCCAGCAGCCGCGGUAAUACGUAGGGGGCAAGCGUUAUCCGGAUUUACUGGGUGUAAAGGGAGCGUAGACGGCUGUGCAAGUCUGAAGUGAAAGCCCAG